UACUUCCUGAAAAUUAAACAAUAGUGGUAAACUGGCAAUCUACAGGCAAGGCACAUAGCAGAGCAAUCUGGCUGCUUCUGAACGACCAUCAACAGGAUUUGCUUCCUUUCAUCUCAUUCGGCUAUGUAACAGAGUGCUUGAAGUACCCCCAGGAAGUUCCUUUAUCCUUGGCAAAAGGGGUUUGUGAGUCUUGAUUUCAAUGCCCUUUUAUGCUACUGACUGUCAAAGGGGUUGCUGUGCAAGUAGUGAAUCUGUAACAGAAAUGACAGCCAUGACAGCCUCAUAGAGCCAGCGUCAAAAAUAUUAGUGAGCAAUUUAGUAGGCCAUCAAGCACAUGAAUAGACUGGGCCUUUUGCCAUGUAUGAUCCAUCUAGGUGGGAAAAUAUUGCAGCAGGAUCAGAGAAAAGAGGGAUGUGAAUUGUGAGACUGCCUCAUGUAAAGGGCAUAAUG
RNAcentral lists this long non-coding RNA (450 nucleotides) under Homo sapiens (human). RNAcentral describes it as "HSALNT0009018". The record is from RNAcentral. Lineage: Eukaryota; Metazoa; Chordata; Mammalia; Primates; Hominidae.